This 475-nucleotide ribosomal RNA is filed under the name uncultured Candidatus Portiera sp. RNAcentral's name for it is "bacterial SSU rRNA". It matches the Rfam family "Bacterial small subunit ribosomal RNA", at positions 30 to 505 of the family's 1533-position model. Lineage: Bacteria; Pseudomonadati; Pseudomonadota; Gammaproteobacteria; Johnevansiales (SeqCode); Johnevansiaceae (SeqCode). The record is from RNAcentral.
AUUGAACGCUGGCGGCAGGCCUCAUACAUGCAAGUUGAACGAGAAAGUAUCUUCGGAUGCGAGUACAGUGGCGGACGGGUGAGUAAUACAUAGGAAUCUACCCAAUGGAGGGGGAUAGCUCGAGGAAACUCGAAUUAAUACCGCAUAAUCUCCACGGAGUAAAGAGGGCUUCGGCUCUUGCCAUCGGAUGAGCCUAUGCAAGAUUAGCUUGUUGGUAAGGUAAUGGCUUACCAAGGCUACGAUCUUUAGCUGGUUUGAGAGGACGACCAGCCACAUCGGGACUGAGACACGGCCCGGACUUCUACGGAAGGCAGCAGUAGGGAAUAUUGGACAAUGAGCGAAAGCUUGAUCCAGCCAUGCCGCGUGUGCGAUGAAGACCUUCGGGUUGUAAAGCACUUUAGGUUAUGAGAAAAGAUUUGGUAUUAAUACCACCAAAUUUUGAUGUUAAUUACAGAAUAAGCACCGGCUAAAUCCG